Molecule: ribosomal RNA, 423 nt
Filed under: uncultured bacterium
Lineage: Bacteria
Description: partial 16S ribosomal RNA
Rfam family: Bacterial small subunit ribosomal RNA
Source: RNAcentral
UGGGGAAUUUUGGACAAUGGGCGCAAGCCUGAUCCAGCCAUGCCGCGUGCGGGAAGAAGGCCUUCGGGUUGUAAACCGCUUUUGUCAGGGAAGAAAUCUUCUGAGUUAAUACCUCGGGAGGAUGACGGUACCUGAAGAAUAAGCACCGGCUAACUACGUGCCAGCAGCCGCGGUAAUACGUAGGGUGCAAGCGUUAAUCGGAAUUACUGGGCGUAAAGCGUGCGCAGGCGGUUUUGUAAGACAGAGGUGAAAUCCCCGGGCUCAACCUGGGAACUGCCUUUGUGACUGCAAGGCUUGAGUGCGGCAGAGGGGGGAUGGAAUUCCGCGUGUAGCAGUGAAAUGCGUAGAUAUGCGGAGGAACACCGAUGGCGAAGGCAAUCCCCUGGGCCUGCACUGACGCUCAUGCACGAAAGCGUGGGGAGC